Molecule: ribosomal RNA, 452 nt
Filed under: uncultured Leptolinea sp.
Lineage: Bacteria; Bacillati; Chloroflexota; Anaerolineae; Anaerolineales; Anaerolineaceae
Description: bacterial SSU rRNA
Rfam family: Bacterial small subunit ribosomal RNA
Source: RNAcentral
GGGCCCCGCACAAGCAGCGGAGCGUGUGGUUUAAUUCGAUGUUACACGAAGAACCUUACCAGGGUUUGACAUGCAAGUGGUAGGAAGCCGAAAGGUGACCGACCUUCGGGGAGCUUGCACAGGUGCUGCAUGGCUGUCGUCAGCUCGUGUCGUGAGAUGUUCGGUUAAGUCCGCUAACGAGCGCAACCCUCGCUGUGUGUUAUAUGUGUCACACGGGACUGCCGGUCUUAAGCCGGAGGAAGGUGGGGAUGAAGUCAAGUCAGCAUGGCCUUUAUAUCCUGGGCUACACACACGCUACAAUGGCUGGUACAAUUGGUCGCGAAACCGCGAGGUGGAGCCAAUCCUAAAAGCCAGCCUCAGUUCAGAUUGUAGGCUGCAACUCGCCUGCAUGAAGAUGGAGUUGCUAGUAAACGCAGGUCAGCAUUACUGCGUUGAAUACGUUCCCGGGGAUU